Taeniopygia guttata (zebra finch) is the source of this 5446-nucleotide non-coding RNA. The record is from RefSeq and is a predicted model, not a curated record. NCBI's taxonomy places the organism in Eukaryota, Metazoa, Chordata, Aves, Passeriformes, Estrildidae.
AAUAGUCUGACAGGAAAGUUGGUAAAAAGGAAGUAUUUUAGUUCAACUUUGGAUCUGCAGUCAUCUACUGCUAAAUGAUUCGGAAUAACCAGGAUUCUGUGAAAAAUAAAUUCUUUGGUAACAGCUGCUCAACUGAUUUUUUAUGCACAUGCAAGAACAAAGAAUAUAUUUUCAAAGCAUGAUGAUGGUUCGAUUCAAAUCAAAGGGUUUUCACAAUGCUUUUCAACUUCAUCUAAAUAUUUACCUUGGCAACAAUGCUAUAAACAGUUAUUGUUUUGCUAGUAUUAAUAAGAUAAUUUACCUAAGUCCACGAACUGUAAGCAACAAAACCAACAAGAGCAACUACUUUAUUUGGAGGUCUCCUGUUUCUCAACAAAUAAUAUUAAUGAAACACACAUUCUGUGCCAUCUGAAGGCUGAAGUCUUCCUGAAGUUGAUGGAACAGAAGUUAAUAUGCUGGGAAUGCAAAUUCAAAAGUCUACAUCAGUAUUUAAAGACACACAGGAAGCUAUUCCAGAUUACAGCUGAAGCAGAGUAAAUUACAAACAACACAGUGAAAGCUGAAUAAAAGGCCCUGGGAUAAAAAUUACAGAUAUCGGGGGAAAAGGACUCUGAGACAAGAAGGAUUGUGAGACAAGUUUGUAAGAUUUGUUUCCUGCAAAAUGUUGUGUACCAGAGGACAUUCUAGAAAUGGUUUUCAGAGCAAACUCCAUGGCACAACUGUACUCAAAAAUUAAUUAGAAACAAGCAAAGAAACCUCAUCACUACAAAAAAUAGUAUAAUUCUUGAUCUUAGUUUUACUAGGUACGUCCCUGGCUUUGUAUAUCAUGGGAUUCCUUAUGCUUGGCUGGGUCCAUUUACCAAUGUUCUGAACUCUUUCAGCCACCUGACCCCAUAAAUUCCUGUCUCAAUUUCUGAAUCCCCAAUCGGAUCUGAGAUUGCCAAGAUGCAUUUUGUUAUUUCUUUGAAUAUUCUGAUAGUAGGCAGGAGGAUGAUUUGAUUAUACACCAAAAUGUAUUUUUAAAAAAUAUAAAUAUAUCAAAAGGGAGUAGAAAAAAAAGAAAGUGUAAACCAGCUCUCAGGAUCACUCAGUGGGAAGCAGCAUGCACUGUAGCUAUUGUCCCUGGUCCUGAAAUACUUGAAAUGAAAUCAAAAAAUCACCCAAGACAAAGGCAAGCACACAGUGAAAAAUGAAUACAUUCUUUCCUAUAUAUACCAGUUUUUCUUUACCCAAAUUUUAGAAGAGGCCAUUUUACAUUUCCAGAAGAUUUUUAAAAAAGAGCUAAGAUCAUUAAUUGUUCACUGUGACAAUCAAUCUCUUUGAGAAAAAUGAAUUGGUAAAAUAUAUUUCAAUGGAGACUUUCAACAGCAGUUUUCAGCAGUUCCAAUAGCAGAAUAUGCUGCAAAGUCAAAGAAUAAUCAACAGACAAUGCCAUUACGCAGUAAUUCUUUAAGACGACCUGUAGCUAUUAAAACACUUUCCUCUUCCUUCACAUAAGGCUCCUUUACUUGCUACUGUUAAGAAAAAACUAGGGGGAUAUAGUUCAUCUCUUGAUUUCCUGUGUGGAGUGAAGCAUUUGAAUGCCCAUAAAUCCUUCAUUCAGUUCAGUUCCACAAAUAAAGGAAUGAAACACAGUACUAAUAUUUGCUGAAAAGUUGAAUGUUUCAUUUUUACAUGAAGACCCUUAUGAAAAUUAGUCUUUAAAAGGUACAAAACUCCAUAACAUAUUAAGUAAUCAUAAGAUGUCAAUUGCAUAUGUAAUCCAUUAAUGCUCGGUAAGCAAUUAACUGCUUUAACUGCUGUCACAAUUUAUGUUCCAGUACAGAAGACAAUGCAUUUUAUCACACCAGAUAGGUAAGGACAUAUAAUAAAAAGAGUAACUUUGCAGUUAUUUGAAAGAAGAUGUAAAAUGUGUAUUUGGGAGCAGAGUGCAAAACAAUCAAGUCAUAUCCAAUCUGAACAUAUAUGGUGGUUUCCCCCACCCUCCAUCCCCUAGUAUUUUUAGUCAACAGACAAAAAUUGUUGAGAUAAUUGACUCACAAAACUGUAAACUGGCCCGUCAACUAUGUAGAUUUCUUACAUCUAUUAUGACUAACAGAAACCUUGAUGUAAUAAAGAGCAGACACUUAGCAGGAAAAUUAUCUUAAAACAAUACCUACCGGUCUGGUUGUACCCGCUGAAUGUGGAGGCUGGUUACGAACUGUAACAGAUAUUAGAGAUUUCUGACUUAGCAUUUAUUUCAAAAUCAACUUCUGUCUAUAUUAUAAUUAGUACAAAGCAUGUAUGUAUUACCUAUGUUAUCUUUUCUUUGUGUUCCAGGGCUUUUUUGUACUUUGAAGCAUGGAAAAGAAAUAGAUUAUCUGUGUCAGAUAAGCCACAAAUGGGUAGUAGAUGGCGAUGUUACAUUACUACUUCUGAGAAUGGAAGCAAGGAGACCCCAGUGAUUUUUUCAAAAUUUAUUACAUAUCCACCAGCUGUCACUAACACACUCCUAUCCCACAGCACACAUGAAGUAAUUUGAACAUUUUAUUACAGAUUAUUUAAAUCACAUCCUAUUUGUUGCAAGCUAAAGACACCCACUUGUACCUUGUUCUCAACAGUGUUGGAAGCUGUUUUGUUUUGUGCUAUAUUCUGUAGAUGUUCUACCAGCAGUGGUUAAAACAAAGAGAGCUGAUGUAAAAGUUCCUGACCCCACUCUCUGUGUUUAUGGGAUACAUGUGUUAGAGCACCAGCUUCACCACGGCCAUGCUGAUGGCAACCUGUAGAUGCAACAUUCAAACUGGGUAGUGCAAGAGAUGAAAAAAAUACCUCUAGUUCAGACAAGUACACAAUUUCUAACAGGCAGGGAGGUUUAGGAUUCUGGCUUGAGUUUCUGCUGCUUAUUUCCCAGGAAGGCGAAGUCACCAUGUCAGUCACAAUAAGUGGAGGGAACUCUGCGGUGCAUCACACGGUUUAUCAAAUCACUUCCAGCUAUCAGACUGCCCUGGAGCCAGUCAGAAUGGGUUUCUGGGUAUGCUCUCAGUGAAGCAGCUCCCACUCUGAGCAACCUGGUGCCAAUUUACUCUCCUUGCAGCAGGAAGCUGGUGUGGAUAACCACCAAAGGUGCCUCCUAAACUCAAAUACUCUAUGCAUAGAGUGAUUUUACCAAUUUAGAAAAAUGAAUCAGCAAUGCAGCCAAAAUUAAUAGUAGCAUACAGGAGGAAACCCUGACAGUGACUCUGCUAGGACUUGUAUUGCUAUUUGCUGUGAAGGACACAUUCCUGAGAGACAAGGAAGGGACCCAAGCCCAUGACUUUGCUGGCAUGACUAAAGCAGGACCCAUCCAGCAGUAAUCCCAUGUACUCCAACCAGAAUGGUGCAAGAAAAAUGCUCCUCCUAACUGUGUGUUACACACAGCUGGCUAUCAGAACCAAAAUACCUACACUGUGUUCUUUAGAAAGAAGCAAAAUAUUAAAUUAUAGACCAAAUUGUUUAAAUGGAAGUUUCUCUCCCCAGAAUAUAUGAACAUACAUAGUCCUUUAUGAAAAGUCAGGCUCCCUAGAUUCCCGAUUUAGUUACAGGUAUAAUGGUCAGUCUGAUGACCAGCCAGCUACAGCUUCCUCUGAGGGUCAGCCUUAAAAGCAUUCUUGAUUAGAGCUCUCUAAGUUUUCACUUAGCUUUUCAUAAAUGCCUUCUGUAACAAUUCCCACCACCACUGAAAACCAGGAAGCAACCUGGCUGGGUGAAAGCUAUGCUAAGUAAAAGAAGAAAGAUCCUACAUGAUAAACAUGUUAAUGAAAUCACCCUUAGUAUCACAAAAGCAGUAAUAUUACUCAGAUGUUAAAUUAGAAAUCCAUUUCUAGAAUACAAAAAUUGUUAUGUUACCUUCUACUUCUCUCCUAGCUACCCCAGGACUGGGAGGAGCUCCAAGACCUUUUCAGAGAAAGAAGAGAAGCUGUACAUAGCAUGAGAAAAGCAGCAGAUUGAGAAAGAAAACCAGAAAGAACAUUGGCCCAAGGCAGCUUUACACAAUUCAACUCUGGUCUAGAUAGAUUACAGUCACCUGUAGGAAAUAACUGUUUGUAGCAGCAUGGAGAACCAGACUGGUGUGAAUUACAAAUCAUCAAGUACAUUCAUGUUUAAUAUCAUCUACUAUUUUAAUUUUACAUUACAGUUGAAAGUGAAUUUAAUUCCUUCAAAAUGUUCACUCUUCACAAACGUUUGGUUAUCCAGUGUGAUCUGACAUGCUGUUCUUGAAACUCUCAUGAGCAGAGCACAGACCUGUGCUCAAACACUGGGGAAUAAAUGAGCACAGCACUUACACCCUGCAACAAUAAGCCUGAUCCCUGUCAUUCAGAACACUGAGUAGUCUGUUUCUGGUACAUCUGAGUAAGAAAUGUGAUGAAAGCAAUACUUCCCACUUCAUAUAAUGUAUUGUAUCCUGAAGAACUGUAUUACUAAGUUGCCUCUAUACACCACUGUGCACUUGGGACAGCUGUACCAACUGGUUUAAUAGUUCAGAUUGAAAGAAAGAAGAUUUUCAAUCAUGCAUAACCAUGCUGAAUUACUUGAUUUCUGCAAUAUCAUCAAGCAUGUACUGGGUUCCUAAAACUGCAUGGCAAAAACACGACAGGACAGAGAUGUGAUGGAAAUACUGAAGGCAUCCCUUAGCUAUGACACAGCCUCCUGUGCUUUCUCACCAUGUGCCCACAUGUGAGAUCUGCCCAGGCGCUCUCUGUGGUCUGUGAGUUCUGUCACAGGGUCGGCAGAGUAAAGGCUGCACAUGAGGCUGAAAUGGGACUGUCUCCAGAGAUGUUAGAUCUCUGCUUUGGCUGAACAUCUGUUCCAAAGAUGCUAAACCCUAGCAUGUAGUAUCUGUUCUAGCUGAGACCCAGGCUCUGCCAAUUUCCAUCACAAGCUUCUGACUGAGAAUGACUCUGUGAGAGGAGAAGCAGUGAAGCUGCACAGGAGUAGGGCACUGCCUGACAACAUUCCAUUGCUCUUGUUUUAUGCAGGAGGAGGACUAAAGCCAGCUCCUUCCCGCAGAAGGGAGACACAGGCACACGUUCCUACGUCAGGGCACCAGACAGGGGGAGCAAGAUCUUCAGGCAUGAGGAUUUGGAAAGUUAACAAACGUUCACUACAAGGGAGAGAAACACAGAGGAGAGGACGGUCGGAACCCAGCCCUGGAAAUAACGAUCCGGAAUUUUUUGAGAGAGGAAAGACAAGAGGAAUGAACCAAUGAUGAAAAGAAGCAGAUUUCCUAAAUCAAAACUUUUGCCUCAUGUGUUUUAACAAAUUUAUGUUUUUCAUGAAAUCCUGAACAAUCUUACCAAUUGCAGCAUUCCAAAUUUUGAUUUUGACUCUUACCUGUGAACUAAGUUCUCUGGAAAAAAUGCUACAAAGGGAAUUCUCAAGGCAUUUGAGCAGUUAAAAUAAACUCAAUAAAAAGCUGUUCUGAGCACCA